This is a long non-coding RNA of Musa acuminata subsp. malaccensis (wild Malaysian banana), 1305 nucleotides long. RefSeq lists it as uncharacterized. Lineage: Eukaryota; Viridiplantae; Streptophyta; Magnoliopsida; Zingiberales; Musaceae. The record is from RefSeq and is a predicted model, not a curated record.
CUCCUUUGGUUCUUAUUAAUUUGCAGGAAGAGGAACUCAUCGACCGGUUCUUCGUCUUGUCUCUCUAGGGUUUCGCAUGAUCUCCUCCCCUCCCCGUCCGAGAUUUCGCUGCGAUACGUCUCUCGGUGGAUCUCUCUCUCUCUCUCUCUCUCUCUCUCUCUCUCUCUCUCUCUCUAUCUAGGGUUUCGGAUGAUCUCUUUCGCCCCUCACUAUGUCCAAGAUUUCGCUGCUCUCUGCCUCCUAGGGUUUCGGUGGACCUCCCUCUCUCCCGCUUCUAUGUCCAAGAUUUCGCUGCGACCUAGUGUGAGUUGAUCUGACAUUGGAGGAGGAUUAGGGGGGGGAAUCGGUUCGUGAAGUUGGCGUGCAGAUCGAGGGCGACUCCUCUCCCGGAGAUUUCGAUGUUAUAUGGCGUAAGUUAAUCGGACGUUGGACGAGGAUCAAGAGGCGAAUGGCUUAGAAGAGUCGGCAUGACGAUCUAACGCCCCUCCCUUCCUGGGGCUAUUCUUUCUUCUUGGUUUCUUUUCUUCUUCUUGCCUCUGUCUCGCAAUCCGCUGUGUGAUUCUCAUCGAAGCCCAUCGCACAAGCCUUAUUCCGUGUGAACCAGCAGUGUUAGUCCGGUUGAUCUCAUUUCCUGCGCGAGAGAGGUAUUCUUUCUUGAUUCGUUUUAUCUGCUUUCCUUGGGGUAAAAGAAUCUUCUCAAUUAGGGAUCACAGGGUUUAGUUCUUCAGUUCGAUUAAAAGAAUAAAGAUUCUGUAUAAGGAUUUCUUAUGUUGCUGCCUACGAGAUUUCUCUUGUCAGAGUUGUCCUUUCUGUUCCAUGUUCAUCUUUCUCUUUCUUUUUGCUAAGUUUUCCAAGAUUGGGUAUCUGCUUUUGUCUUUUUUAGAAAGAUCUUCUCCUUUUUCCGGUCUUAAAAGCAUCUGCAGAUUUUAUGCUGGGGAUCUAAGCUCACUUGUGUUUGACGAAAAGCUUUUAUUCUUUAUAAUCUUUAUCCACGAUAGCUAAAUGUGCUGUUUGCUUACGAGUGUUAUGACUUGAUAUUUGAGCUAUUACAUGAUUGGAUAUGGAAUGCAUGUUUCCUUCGUUUCUCUUAUCAAUAUGCCGACAGAAAAUAUAGAUUUACCUGUCAUUGACGUCACUGUGUGGUGAGUAGUUCUUAAAGUCUUUGUAUGAGAUUCUGUUACCGAGUUGAGACAAUAGGUUUGCAGAUUCAGUGAAGUGGUGUCAUGAAAAACUGUAUUAGAGGGAGUUUUUUUCCGGUCUUGAAAGCGUUACAUAAUUGUAGAACAUUAAAGCAUCUACAGAUUU